GACGGAAGGUGCAAGCGUUGCUCGGAAUCACUGGGCGUAAAGGGUGCGUAGGUGGUGGGGUAAGUCGGAUGUGAAAGCUCGGAGCUCAACUCCGAAAUGGCAUUGGAAACUACCCUGCUAGAGGAUUGGAGGGGGGACUGGAAUACUUGGUGUAGCAGUGAAAUGCGUAGAUAUCAAGUGGAACACCAGUGGCGAAGGCGAGUCCCUGGACAAUUCCUGACACUGAGGCACGAAAGCUAGGGGAGCAAACAGG
RNAcentral lists this ribosomal RNA (253 nucleotides) under uncultured bacterium. Its description in RNAcentral is "partial 16S ribosomal RNA". It matches the Rfam family "Bacterial small subunit ribosomal RNA", at positions 524 to 776 of the family's 1533-position model. The record is from RNAcentral.